GACGAACGCUGGCGGCGUGCCUAAUACAUGCAAGUAGAACGCUGAAGGAGGAGCUUGCUUCUCUGGAUGAGUUGCGAACGGGUGAGUAACGCGUAGGUAACCUGCCUGGUAGCGGGGGAUAACUAUUGGAAACGAUAGCUAAUACCGCAUAAGAGUAGAUGUUGCAUGACAUUUGCUUAAAAGGUGCAAUUGCAUCACUACCAGAUGGACCUGCGUUGUAUUAGCUAGUUGGUGGGGUAACGGCUCACCAAGGCGACGAUACAUAGCCGACCUGAGAGGGUGAUCGGCCACACUGGGACUGAGACACGGCCCAGACUCCUACGGGAGGCAGCAGUAGGGAAUCUUCGGCAAUGGACGGAAGUCUGACCGAGCAACGCCGCGUGAGUGAAGAAGGUUUUCGGAUCGUAAAGCUCUGUUAUAAGAGAAGAACGAGUGUGAGAGUGGAAAGUUCACACUGUGACGGUAUCUUACCAGAAAGGGACGGCUAACUACGUG
This 495-nucleotide ribosomal RNA is filed under the name uncultured bacterium. Its description in RNAcentral is "partial 16S ribosomal RNA". It matches the Rfam family "Bacterial small subunit ribosomal RNA", at positions 28 to 507 of the family's 1533-position model. The record is from RNAcentral.